RNAcentral lists this ribosomal RNA (253 nucleotides) under uncultured bacterium. Its description in RNAcentral is "partial 16S ribosomal RNA". It matches the Rfam family "Bacterial small subunit ribosomal RNA", at positions 524 to 776 of the family's 1533-position model. The record is from RNAcentral.
UACGUAGGGUGCAAGCGUUGUCCGGAAUUAUUGGGCGUAAAGAGCUCGUAGGCGGUUUGUCGCGUCUGCUGUGAAAACCCGAGGCUCAACCUCGGGCCUGCAGUGGGUACGGGCAGACUAGAGUGCGGUAGGGGAGAUUGGAAUUCCUGGUGUAGCGGUGGAAUGCGCAGAUAUCAGGAGGAACACCGGUGGCGAAGGCGGGAUCCUGGGCCAGUACUGACGCUGAGGAGCGAAAGCGUGGGGAGCGAACAGG